AACGCACAUUGCGCCUUAUGGUAGUCCGUAAGGCAUGCCUGUUCGAACGUCAUCAAACCCCUCGAGUCCUCUGGCUUUAAUCGGCCACAGGAGCCUCGGUGUUGCUCGUGGAGGUACCUCUGGUUCCUCCUGGGCGAAUUCCAUUGUGCUGAUCCACAGGUCGCCAAAGCGUAGUAAGCCUAAAAAGCUCUCGCCUGGCGCAAGACCUUGCUGGUAUCAUGCCGUUGAACCCCAUAACCCAUAAGAGUUUGACUUCGGAUCAGGUAGGGAUACCCGCUGAACUUAA
RNAcentral lists this unclassified non-coding RNA (286 nucleotides) under uncultured Ascomycota. RNAcentral's name for it is "sequence contains ITS2". Lineage: Eukaryota; Fungi; Ascomycota. The record is from RNAcentral.